GUGAGGGGUCUGGAGCACAGGCCUCAUGAGGUGUGGCUGAAGGAGCUGGGAUUGUUCAGAGCAUCAAGAGGAUGCUCAGGGGAGACCUUAUUGCUCUCUACAAGUACCUGAAGGGAGGUUGUAGUGAGCUGGGGGUCAGCCUCUUCUCUUGUGUGACUAGUGAUAGGACUAGAGGGAAUGGCUUCAAGCUGCGCCAGGGAAGGUUCAGGCUGGAUGUUAGGAAAUACUACUUCUCUGAAAGGGUGUUCAGGCACUGGAAUGGGCUGCCCAGAGAGGUGGUGGAGUCACCGACCCUGGUGGUGUUCAAGGAACGUUUGGGCAUUGUGUUG
Molecule: long non-coding RNA, 329 nt
Filed under: Gallus gallus (chicken)
Lineage: Eukaryota; Metazoa; Chordata; Aves; Galliformes; Phasianidae
Description: lncRNA (ENSGALG00010006195.1)
Source: RNAcentral